This is a long non-coding RNA of Suricata suricatta (meerkat), 1431 nucleotides long. RefSeq lists it as uncharacterized. Lineage: Eukaryota; Metazoa; Chordata; Mammalia; Carnivora; Herpestidae. The transcript is spliced from 6 exons. The record is from RefSeq and is a predicted model, not a curated record.
UCCAGCUGUUUUGUGUACUUUGGUCCUGAAAGCCCCAUUAAUACUUUGUAUGUUCUGCUCUUUUGAUGUAUAGAACAUUCUGCUUCCUAUUACUGUUAUCUGUGAGAGUGUAAAUGACUUGAGAAGAGAGGCUAUUCCAGUCAUGUUUUUUUUUUCCUAAUAGUAACUAAUCUUUAAUGGGUGCUUACCAUAUGCCAGACACCAUGCCAAGUAUUUUAUGUGGAUUGUCUAAUUUCAUCUUCACAUAACUUUGUUAUUAUUAUCCUCAUUUUGCAGGUGAGAACUGAAGCCUAAAAAGAUUAAGACACUUGCCCAAGAUGACAUAAUGAAUAAGUGGUGGAGUUCAAGUCAAAGCAAGGCUGUCUGAGUGCACAGCCUGGGUCCUUGGCAUCCAUACUUUGCUACCUCGCAUCUCCUGCGGCAUCUCACAUGUCUGGGCUUAUUUUUAACUCCUCGAGGGAGCUCUGCCAAGGCCUCUGGCUCAGUGCUGCUGAGGGCCGGUCAACAGAGAAGGUCGGCAGCCAGCAGGAAGGAGCACGAAGAAUCCACAGACUGAGCCCUGGGAGAAUGGGUUAUGGCUUGAAGCCUGGAGGCUCCGGUCUGGCCACUGAAGGCAGAGGAUCCUCCCUCUCCUCCCUCGAGAAGACUCCAGGAAAUUAAUUCUGUUCCGUCUGCAUCAUGAACUAGUCAGCAGAGACUUUGACCUGGACCUAAACUCUAGGCUAACUCCCCCUUGGCCUGACCUCUCAGGGCACAUGAAGUAAGUUGGCCCAGUGGUUAAGGUAUGGACCCCCGAGUCAGACCACCUGGGUUCUCUAAUCCAGGCCUGACCACCUGGAUUAGUCUGCAGAGCGCCUGAAAGGAUGACACAGCCACCCACCUGGGCAGGAACACAUCCAUUCUGGCUCUCCUGAGGCUGGAGGUCCACGUGUGGAUGGUGCUGGCUGUGAAGUGUGGCUCGAUGUGGCUCAGCAGGGUGUCCUUGUCACGUGGCAGAACGAGGAGCAGACUCACGGUACUUCCCAGUGCUCUGAAAUGCCUCACUGAAGCGGAUGGUUCUUUUACCUGCGAUCUGCCCGGAGGCCCAGUCAUGGGCCCGGAUGCUGGUGCUGUUGGACUCCCGGAGGUUGGCUGGCUCCAGGCUGCUGUUGGCCCACUGGGAGAUCUGCUCCACAAAGCAGGGGCCUUAGAUCCAUUCCCACAACUGCAUGUCAUAAGCCUGCGGGACAUUCAGAUGUGGCCUCUUUUUAGAACUACGCUUUCAAUUUGAGGAACACAGAGGAAAGCUGAGCCUUUGAACUCAUUUGUGAGUCCAGUGUGGAGAGUACCUUUCUUUUGAAUCAGCGUGUCGAACUGAGCUUCCUGAAUGUGACACUGAAUCUGGUGGAUCCUGACUUUGUAAGGUCAAUGAAUAUAAAAAUCUCAAAGCGU